AGUGAACGCUGGCGGUAGGCCUAACACAUGCAAGUCGAACGGCAGCACAGGAGAGCGUGCUCUCUGGGUGGCGAGUGGCGGACGGGUGAGGAAUACAUCGGAAUAUACUCUGUCGUGGGGGAUAACGUAGGGAAACUUACGCUAAUACCGCAUACGACCUACGGGUGCAAGCAGGGGACCUUCGGGCCUUGCGCGAUUGAAUGAGCCGAUGUCGGAUUAGCUAGUUGGCGGGGGAAAGGCCCACCAAGGCGACGAUCCGUAGCUGGUCUGAGAGGAUGAUCGGCCACGCUGGAACUGAGACACGGUCCAGACUCCUACGGGAGGCAGCAGUGGGGAAUAUUGGACAAUGGGCACAAGCCUGAUCCAGCCAUACCGCGUGGGUGAAGAAGGCCUUCGGGUUGUAAAGCCCUUUUGUUGGGAAAGAAAUCCAGCUGGCUAAUACCCGGUUGGGAUGACGGUACCCAACGAAUAAGCACCGGCUAACUUCGUGCCAGCAGCCGCCGCAG
This 506-nucleotide ribosomal RNA is filed under the name uncultured bacterium. RNAcentral's name for it is "partial 16S ribosomal RNA". It matches the Rfam family "Bacterial small subunit ribosomal RNA", at positions 29 to 523 of the family's 1533-position model. The record is from RNAcentral.